Molecule: long non-coding RNA, 892 nt
Organism: Leopardus geoffroyi (Geoffroy's cat)
Lineage: Eukaryota; Metazoa; Chordata; Mammalia; Carnivora; Felidae
Exons: 3
Source: RefSeq, a predicted model, not a curated record
UACAAGUGAGGUCUUCUGAUUCUAAGUCAAGAGAUCUUUUACUAUACCUCAGAGGUCUUCUGGCAAAAAUGGAAAACUUAAAAACAGACAGUAUAUUAAAUACUGUCCCAAGGCUAGAGUCCAGGUAGAAAACUCUAAACAUUCCAUACAUUUGGUCCACUUCUCACAAGUUAAGUUUCACUAGCGCAUGCUUUGUUUUAAUUAUGGCAAAGAAUGCUUGGUCUUGUUCCAGUCUACUCAGUUUCUUCUUCUUCCUAAGCCUUCUGUCUCUGGUCUCUGCCUUGUGCGCCUCCCCCCACCCCCCCCAACCCCUGCCCAUCCCAAGGACUGAUAAGUAGGACUCUGCUGUGUGAAUCACAAACACCUACAACUGAGACAAGCACACAAUCAACUUGCUAGGAGAUCCAUGCCACUUAAGAGGCUGCAGGCAGCUGCCCCCAUCCAGACUUCUUCACAGGAGAAUUCCAGAGGCCACAGAACUUCGCAUUCAUGGGGGAUUCCCCUCGGAACAUCUUGUCAACAGAGCACACACUCCUAAUCUGACAGGAGGAGUGGGUUUUCCUAUCCAGGCAGGUGACAUAGAGAAUGCCAGCCUAUUGACAUGAAGCCAAAGGGCAGUUGGCUCAAUUAAUCCAAUUCAUUGAAAAUUCUCUUCAACAUGUCCAAGAAUCCCAGUGAACCCCAAAGUACAUAAACACAAACCACACCAAGGCACUACACAAUCAAAUUUCUGAAAAGCAGGGAUAAAGACAAAAUCUUUAAGAUGAGACUAAUCACUGGUUUGUCAUCAAAAACAAUGCAAACCAGAAGAUACUGGGAACAUCUUUAUUUUUUUAAAGUUUAUUUAUUUAUUUUGAGAAAGAGAUUGCGUGGGAGGAGCAGAGAGCGAGAG